This 253-nucleotide ribosomal RNA is filed under the name uncultured bacterium. RNAcentral describes it as "partial 16S ribosomal RNA". It matches the Rfam family "Bacterial small subunit ribosomal RNA", at positions 524 to 776 of the family's 1533-position model. The record is from RNAcentral.
GUCGAACCACACGAACGUUAUUCGGAAUUACUGGGCUUAAAGGGUGCGUAGGCGGCGCGGUAAGUAGGGUGUGAAAUCCCUCGGCUCAACCGAGGAACUGCGCUCUAAACUACCGUGCUCGAGGGAGAUAGAGGUGAGCGGAACUUAGGGUGGAACGGUGAAAUGUGUUGAUAUCCUAAGGAACACCGGUGGCGAAAGCGGCUCACUGGAUCUCUUCUGACGCUGAGGCACGAAAGCUAGGGUAGCGAACGGG